RNAcentral lists this long non-coding RNA (1069 nucleotides) under Salvia miltiorrhiza (redroot sage). Its description in RNAcentral is "long non-coding RNA (SMIL_LNC008296)". Lineage: Eukaryota; Viridiplantae; Streptophyta; Magnoliopsida; Lamiales; Lamiaceae. The record is from RNAcentral.
UUGAAACAACAACUAUAAUUGGGGUACGACUCAUCAUUUAAAAGGAACAAGGGAAAAACCUUGUGAAACCCGAGUGAAAGGGAUAACAAUCGGGCUUAGCCCCUUUUUAAGAAGAAAGACAGGUAUUCAAGUGAUACGAAUCAAUCAACAAACAUAACAACUUCAGGAUCACAAGUUUAGUGUCAUGCUUCAGAUAACCAACAUUUGGAAUGAAAUACUUGUGAAUUGAAAGUCUCAGCUCAACAAAAUAUAUAUUGUUUAGAGUCACAACAUAACGGUCUUAAGUUAAGGAAACAAAGGCAUAUAUUAACUAGUUCUACAGCAGAAGUCAAAACACGGAGUUGAACCCUAGCCUCAGCUCGCCCCGUCAGCACCAGCCGUUAACCUGAAAAACAUUUGAAGACAUUUGGGCUAAGUACUAAUGUACUUAGUGGGCUAGCAACUUUUGAAACAUUUCAUAAUCUGAAGGGCAGUUUAUCCAAUCAUACUUGACAUGACUUAAAAGGUUUUUAAAGUGAAAGAACUUCUAAGCAUGUUAAAACAUUUCAUUUUAUAUAUAUAUAUAUAUAUAUAUAUAUAUAUAUAUAUAUAUAUAUGCGCGCAGAUGUCACACUCAUUUCUGUUACUCGCUGUGAUCCCGGACCUUUUAGCCACCGACGGAUCCAUUUCUCCCAUUUACUUGAACUGAGGGCGUAACCCAGACAAGUUUCUUUUAACCUCGGGACGCUACCCAGGCAGACAUGCUUCGGAACACAUCCAACAAGCACCCUUAAUUAUAACGCCUCUUAGUUAGUGCCCGAUGGAGAUCAACCCACCAGAUCAGCUAACGAGUGUACAUAAUUCUCAAAUAACGUGUUAGGCCAUAAGAGAACCUUAAUUGAUUCGUUGUGGCGAGCCUUAAACAGAGCAGAGUGCACAUAAAUAUUUUAUUGGAUAAACAGUUUAUAUUUCACGAAACAUUUAAGCUCAUUAGCUCAAUCAUACAUUUGGAAAAUAAGCCCACCUGUUUAGGCAAAGCCUGUCGUUUAACCUUAUUUCUGAAUCGGAAAAGCAGUGCUAAUCCUCCUGA